This 99-nucleotide signal recognition particle RNA is filed under the name Nitrospiraceae bacterium. RNAcentral's name for it is "signal recognition particle sRNA small type". It matches the Rfam family "Bacterial small signal recognition particle RNA". Rfam says of the family: The signal recognition particle (SRP) is a universally conserved ribonucleoprotein involved in the co-translational targeting of proteins to membranes. Archaeal SRP consists of a 7S RNA and homologues of the eukaryotic SRP19 and SRP54 proteins. Lineage: Bacteria; Pseudomonadati; Nitrospirota; Nitrospiria; Nitrospirales; Nitrospiraceae. The record is from RNAcentral.
ACAGCGGCCCUGCGUAACAGUGAGGUGUGAACUCCGCCAGGUCCGGAAGGAAGCAACGGUAAGCAUUUUUCGCUGUGUACCGCGGCAAGUCGCUGCCCG